UAAACGUGUCCACCUUCCCUGGAGUGGGAGGAGGAACAGUCUUAUUUAAGAGAGGAAGGAGCCUGGGCCACUCAGAGUUUCCCACAGCUCGAGGAGGACUUGGUCUCCACACUGUUGCCUCUAACCUUGAAUUCUGUUGGACCGAGAUAAGUGCCCCUAGUUUGGGAGCUUUGGGGGUGAAGAGUGUAUUGGGACUUGGUUAAAGAAAGCUGGGCCUUCUUAACCUCCGGUGAGAUGUCAGAUACUCAAGCAGUUUGUGAGCUGUGUGUGGUUGCACACAUCUGUAACCCCAGCACUGAAGACACUGAAGCAAGAUAGAGCAUUAAAGGCCAGCCUGGGCUACAUAGUGAGCUACAGAAUUAGACACCCUACCCUACUCCACUCCCCCCACCCCCCACCCCAAUCUCAAAACAAACAUUUUAAAAAGAAAUUCACGAUGGACCUGUUACCUGCACUAAUUCUCUAAACCUGGUUUAUACCGAGUUGCAAACUGACCCAUAGUUGUGUUUCUUUAAGUUGUUGUGAUUCGUGCUAAAGACCUGAUUUUGGGUGUCAGAGGAAAUUAUAUAUCCUGGCUUUAAAUGUGGGAAAAUGUAGGAAUACAGCGUUUUUUGACAAGACAAUUAAAGGUGUUUCAAAAUUCCGUUUUCUCCCAAAUGAGCCCUUUCAUGUUAGCAGGCAGGUUGGCAUGGCUUAGUCGCAUGGUCUUCCAAAUGUUUAAUUAUUAAUCUGCUGAGGAUUCAAAUAAAAGUUUAAUUUUAGUAAA
Peromyscus maniculatus bairdii (prairie deer mouse) is the source of this 766-nucleotide non-coding RNA. NCBI's taxonomy places the organism in Eukaryota, Metazoa, Chordata, Mammalia, Rodentia, Cricetidae. The record is from RefSeq and is a predicted model, not a curated record.